CUAUUACAAGGUGCUGCAUGGUUGUCGGUCAGCUCGUGCCGUGAGGUGUCGGGUUAAGUCCCAUAACGAGCGCAACCCUUACCGUUAGUUGCCAUCGGGUCAAGCCGGGGACUCUAGCGGGACUGCCACCGUAAGGUGAGAGGAAGGUGGGGAUGACGUCAAAUCAGCACGGCCCUUAUGUCCAGGGCUACACACGCGUUACAAUGGCCGGUACAGAGGGCAGCUACCUGGUGACAGGAUGCUAAUCCCGAAAGCCGGUCCCAGUUCGGAUUGGAGUCUGCAACCCGACUCCAUGAAGUUGGAUUCGCUAGUAAUCGCGCAUCAGCCAUGGCGCGGUGAAUACGUUCCCGGGCCUU
This 356-nucleotide ribosomal RNA is filed under the name uncultured Sphingobacteriales bacterium. Its description in RNAcentral is "bacterial SSU rRNA". It matches the Rfam family "Bacterial small subunit ribosomal RNA", at positions 1028 to 1382 of the family's 1533-position model. The record is from RNAcentral. Lineage: Bacteria; Pseudomonadati; Bacteroidota; Sphingobacteriia; Sphingobacteriales.